Non-coding RNA from Ornithorhynchus anatinus (platypus), 138 nucleotides. Lineage: Eukaryota; Metazoa; Chordata; Mammalia; Monotremata; Ornithorhynchidae. The record is from Rfam.
CCCCUCUCAGGGUCGCAUCUGGAGAGCUUCGAGUACUCUACCGAUUACGACUUUAGGAGGGAGAGUCGAGCAGAGGCCUACCCACUCCAUUCCUAGCUUGGCCAGUGGCUAGCGAGUGGAAGGCCAUCUGCUACAAGC